AAAACUACAACUUCAGGUAACAAAGAGUUGACAGUUUUAUUUAUAUGUUGCUGAAUUUCUUUGGAUAAAGAAACAAGUCAUAUUGUUGUUGUCCUUCAAAUUUGGCCAAUGUUUAGCCUAUGCUCCUUUUUUUUCUUCAAAUGAUUUAGCAUAGCCUACUUUGAUCACUUGAUAUAGAAAUAGGCCUUUGGACAUGCAUUCACUUAACCAUAAAUAUCAUGUUGCCUUUCUAAGAGAUUAUUCAAUUAAAUGAGAAUGAAAGGGACUUAAGGAAGCUUUUUGCAAUCUAUUGUCUCUUAGAAGAAAGAUUUUGGGUUUUGGGCUUCAAAUUGCAUUCAUCUAUGACUACUUCACUGAAUUAAUUUAAUCUUUUUUUCUUGAUAAUCACAGUUAAU
This 395-nucleotide unclassified non-coding RNA is filed under the name Hevea brasiliensis (rubber tree). Lineage: Eukaryota; Viridiplantae; Streptophyta; Magnoliopsida; Malpighiales; Euphorbiaceae. The record is from RNAcentral.